This 310-nucleotide ribosomal RNA is filed under the name uncultured bacterium. RNAcentral's name for it is "partial 16S ribosomal RNA". It matches the Rfam family "Bacterial small subunit ribosomal RNA", at positions 503 to 807 of the family's 1533-position model. The record is from RNAcentral.
AAGAGACAGCAGUCGCCACGGUAAUACGAAGGGUGCAAGCGUUAAUCGGAAUUACUGGGCGUAAAGCGUGCGUAGGCGGUGAGUUAAGUCUGCUGUGAAAUCCCCGGGCUCAACCUGGGAAUGGCAGUGGAUACUGGCUCGCUAGAGUGUGUCAGAGGAUGGUGGAAUUCCCGGUGUAGCGGUGAAAUGCGUAGAGAUCGGGAGGAACGUCAGUGGCGAAGGCGGCCAUCUGGGACAACACUGACGCUGAGGCACGAAAGCGUGGGGAGCAAACAGGAUUAGAUACCCGUGUAGUCCCUGUCUCUUAUAC